UACGUAGGGGGCUAGCGUUGUCCGGAAUCAUUGGGCGUAAAGCGCGCGUAGGCGGCCCGGUAAGUCCGUUGUGAAAGUCAAAGGCUCAACCUUUGAAAGCCGAUGGAUACUGCCGGGCUGGAGUCCGGAAGAGGCGAGUGGAAUUCCUGGUGUAGCGGUGGAAUGCGUAGAUAUCAGCAGGAACACCCGUGGCGAAGGCGGCUUCCUGGGCCGCCCCUGACGCUGAGGCGCGAAAGCGUGGGGAGCGAACGGG
Molecule: ribosomal RNA, 253 nt
Filed under: uncultured bacterium
Lineage: Bacteria
Description: partial 16S ribosomal RNA
Rfam family: Bacterial small subunit ribosomal RNA
Source: RNAcentral